GACGAACGCUGGCGGCGUGCUUAACACAUGCAAGUCGAACGGUGAAGCGCCUUCCUUUUUGGUGGGUGUGGAUGAGUGGCGAACGGGUGAUUAACACGUGAGUAACCUGCCCCCUUCUUCUGGAUAACCGCAUGAAAGUGUGGCUAAUACGGGAUAUUCUGGGUCUGUCGCAUGAUGGGUCUGGGAAAGAUAUUGUUUCGGUGGGGGAUGGGCUCGCGGCCUAUCAGCUUGUUGGUGGGGUGAUGGCCUACCAAGGCGGUGACGGGUAGCCGGCCUGAGAGGGUGGACGGUCACACUGGGACGGAGACACGGCCCAGACUCCUACGGGAGGCAGCAGUGGGGAAUAUUGCACAAUGGGCGCAAGCCUGAUGCAGCGACGCCGCGUGAGGGAUGGAGGCCUGCGGGUUGUGAACCUCUUUCGCCAGUGAAGCAGGCCUGCCUCGUUUGUGGGUGGGUUGACGGUAGCUGGAGAAGAAGCGCCGGCUAACUACGUG
RNAcentral lists this ribosomal RNA (494 nucleotides) under uncultured bacterium. Its description in RNAcentral is "partial 16S ribosomal RNA". It matches the Rfam family "Bacterial small subunit ribosomal RNA", at positions 28 to 507 of the family's 1533-position model. The record is from RNAcentral.